AUUCGCAAUUCGGGGGAGCCCGUGGCCUCCAAUCCGCCCCGAUUCCUGCGCCUCCUCCAGCCGAUCCGCAUGGAUCAAUGGAGUUUUCAUAGCUCUCAAGGUUAAGAUCAACAGUACUGUGCAGUGAACUCUUGUUCAUUUCUUGGUCCUGGGCUUCUUCAUUCUUGCUCAAGUCCAGCUGUCUGUUGAUCCAAUUCAAAGGUGGAGAUGAGUGUGGAGUACAAUAUGGAUGAAGCUUUGAAAGCACGAAAUACUGCAGAGAGCAAGUUUCAUGCGCGUGACCUCAGGGGCGCACGCAAGUAUGCGGUCAAGGCCCAGAAUCUCUGCCCAUCGCUUGAGGGCAUAUCCCAGAUGGCGUCGACUCUUGAAGUUCAUCUUGCAGCAGAGUCCAAGAUUGAUGGAGAGAGUGAUUGGUACCGGAUCUUGUCCCUGCCCGCCUUUGCAGAUGAAGAGGAUGUGAAGAAGCAGUACAGGAAGCUAGCUCUCCAGCUGCACCCUGAUAAGAACAAGUCAGUCGGUGCUGAGGAGGCCUUUAAACUGAUCUCUGAGGCGUGGAGUGUGUUGUCUGAUACUAGUCGGAAGGCAAUUUAUGAUCAGAAGAGGUCAGAUCAUUCUGUUGUCAACGUAACCAAUGGCAUGUAUACGUAUGACAAGAAGGCGACCAAGAGAGCUCGAAAGAAUGCUGCUGCUGCCGCCGCCGCCGCCGCUGCUGCUGCGGCUGCUGCUGAGGCUACUGCUCGUCCUGCUGGUGUUGAUACUUUCUGGACAUCUUGCAAUCGCUGCCGUAUGCAGUAUGAGUACUUAAGAAUGUAUCUUAAUCAUAACCUUCUGUGCCCAAACUGCCAUCAUGCGUUCAUGGCGGUAGAGACUGGAUUUCCUUGCAACGGAAGCAGUUCAUCUUUCUCCUGGUCAACCAAGCAGCAGCCACAGAACCACAGUUCCACCAAACAUUCAUAUGGCUCAACAAGCAGGACUUCUAGCAUUCCGGGGACAGGGCAUGUGGGGUAUCAGCAAGAUAGCACUUAUGAUUCCUACAACAGUCAAAGCUUUCAGUGGAAUCAGUACUCCAAGACAGCGCCUGCAGCUGACACAAAUGCUUACAGUACCCAGGCUUCCGAGAAACCUAGAAGAAAUGAAGAGAGCUACAGCUACAACUACCCUGAAAGUGGAAACACAUGUGACCCUGAGAGAACUACUUCAAGGCGUGGCCGGUUUGCAAAGCGGAGAAGGCAUAGUAAUGAUUAUACUACUGUGGAUUAUGCUGGAGAUAACAAAGAAACAGUGGUUGCAAGCACAGAGACAAAUGCUUUCACAGAUGUGGGGCGGGUUAAUGGCACUUCAGUGGAAAAGAUGAGAUCUGCAGUGAGUGUAAGGAGAGCCAAUGUUUUGAGAGAGAUCUCCCAGAUUGAUACACGGGGUCUACUUGUUGAGAAAGCCAAAGAAGCCGUCCGGGGAAAAUUGCAAGAGCUGAGCAUGGCAGCAUGUUCACGGUUUGCAGAGAAAAGAAAGUCAGAAGGAAAGGUAUAUCCUAGUGACAACAACAUAAAGGCAAAUGGGGUCCUCUCUGGCAAGCUUGGCAAAGGACUCAAGCUAUGCAGUUCAAUAAGUGUCGACACCCACGUACCUGCAACUGCAGCUGAUGAAAAGAAUCCAGAACAGAAGCGUGUGCCUGUUUCAAUUGAUGUCCCAGAUCCUGACUUCCAUGAUUUUGAUAAGGAUCGCACAGAGAGAGCUUUUUAUAGCGACCAAGUAUGGGCUACAUAUGACAGUGAGGAUGGAAUGCCUCGUCUAUAUGCAAUGGUGCAGAAAGUUCUUUCAAUGAGACCUUUCAGAAUCCGCAUGAGUUUCCUCAAUUCCAAAUCCAAUAUUGAACUGUCGCCAAUAAACUGGGUUGCCUCUGGUUUCCAGAAAACAUGUGGCGAUUUUAGGGUUGGAAGGUACCAGAUUACGGAAACAGUCAACAUAUUUUCGCACAAAGUCAGCUGGACUAAAGGCCCCCGUGGGAUUAUCAGAAUUAUUCCUCAGAAAGGUGAUACAUGGGCUUUGUACCGAGACUGGUCUCCUGAUUGGAACGAGCUUACACCUGAUGAUGUGAUAUAUAAAUACGAGAUUGUCGAAGUUAUUGAUGAUUUCACUGAGGAGCAAGGGCUGACUGUCAUUCCAUUGUUGAAGGUUGCUGGCUUCAAAGCUGUGUUCCAUAGGCACAUGGACCCCAAGGAGGUCAGGAGGAUACCAAAGGGUGAGCUGUUUCGUUUCUCGCAUCAGGUUCCUUCUCGACUGCUGACUGGUGAAGAAGGCAACAAUGCCCCGGAAGGUUGUCAUGAGCUCGAUCCUGCUGCAACCCCAGUGGACCUUCUUAAGGUUAUUACAGAGGUGAAUGAAGACGUGGCGGCACAGACUGCUGAAUAGAAGAGGGCAACAACUCUGAACACUGAAGAUAGCUUGGGUGUCUGAAGUGUGAAAUGGCAAGCAGCUUAUGUCGUGGACUUCUGACUGUUAAUUCUUAGGCAUUUCUAACACUCGGAGUUUAUCGCGCCAUGGAUAUCAUCUUCUAGAGUAAAAGAAGCAUUGGGAGGCGAUUGAUGCGGCGACUAGUCAAAGGAAAGCUAUGGAGCCUCAUGGCUUGCUGACGGCGUUACUCUGUUCAGGUAUGGUGUUGAGCAUAGGAGCCAUCAAGUUCGAGGGGGGAGACGCCACUGGACUUCCCCAUGUACCCAGAAAUUAUUAAUGUACCAAAUUUACCUAAGAUGUUGUAUUUCCUUUAAUCUAUAGCGAUGCGUCCUUAUAUAAUGUUGAACUCGAUGAUUUCAAAAUUCUGAUUUGAACUCGGUGAACUGGUUCGGCAAUUUAAUAUUAUAUUUAGUGGAAGCUUGCUCGUGGGCUUGUUCUCUUUCC
Molecule: ribosomal RNA, 2895 nt
Filed under: Triticum aestivum (bread wheat)
Lineage: Eukaryota; Viridiplantae; Streptophyta; Magnoliopsida; Poales; Poaceae
Description: partial small subunit ribosomal RNA
Source: RNAcentral